ACAGUUUUCAGAUUUAUUAAAAAAAAAAUGCAUACGACAGAAAAGUCUGUACAUGCAUGGCAAAGUACAGAAGUGUUCCCUCUGAGCAUUUUUUAUUUUUCAACUUUGAUGUUUCAUCUAUCACACUCUGUCCUUCAGGACAUCAUCGAGUGCUGAUCCUGCCAGAAAGCUGGCAGUGUCAAGCUUCUUGGCAAGCUUGCCUGUUUUCCCACCAAGGGAAUUGCUGGCAAGGGCAACUAUUGUCCACGUGCUGUAAACAAAACCCAGCAGGAACACUUCGCAAAUCCAUAUGCUCAAGGACAACCUCAUCUUAUCAUAUACAUGUUUAAGAAAGAUGUCUCCAUCCAUGCACAAAGACAUCAUUCAGUAAAGGUACCUUUUACAUUGUACUAACAGUGAACUGCAUCCUCGAUCCUCUCGCUCUCUGCUCUUAUUGUGUCGCUGACAUUCAAUCGAGCCUUUUUUGGCGGGCCGAAAGAAGAGACGGAGCUUUCCUCAGUGGGCCACCUUUCUGCGCCAGUCUUUGAGCCUCUGAAAAUCUGCAACGGCAAAGAGUCGCGAACACAGAGCCUACCGAAGAAAAACUGCUUCUGCUAGAGCUGCUUAGUGCGGAGUUCAGCACAACACAUGGAAAGCAUGAAGCCACAAGAAGGAGAGCUAGCAAUAAAGAUUUCUGAGCUGCAGAGCAUGGUAUCAGAACUGAAGACUGUAUUUUCAAGUGCCCUGCUUGAGUUAAAUCAGAUCAAGGACUCAGACACGUGCCUUCAGGAAGACCUUCGAGAGACUAAGCAGACCUGUGAGAAGCGCACUCGUCACCUGGAGGCCUUGGUGUAUUCCCUCAAGGAGGAGCUCAUAGAGGUGCGCUGCCAGUUGCUGCAGCUGCGAUGUGAUCAGCAGAAGCUCCAACAAAGUUUAAAGAUGAGCUGUAUCAGAGGGUUAGGACCUCAGAGAAACUGCUGUGGUUGCUCCAUGGACAGAGAGGCCCAUUGCGAUGGUCUACUUCUCCACUGCUACCUGCAGGGAGGAUGUGCAGGGUGGCAUCCCCACACAGGAACGUUUGUGAUCCCUAAUGUGCCAUCCAGGACAGCUGAACUCACUUCUGCAGUAACAACAUCCUGUGGUAGUGAUGUCCCUUAUGCAAGCCCUUGUGAAGGCAGGAGGAUGCAGGUAACCCUGGAGCUGCUCCACUCUGAACAAGAAUACGUGAAGACGCUGAAUCAGCUUCUUGAGAAGUACAGAAUGCUUUCAGCACUGGAAAAAGAGCAGGAUUCACAUGAGAAAUUUUUGAACUACACCGAACAACUGUUACGCCAACAUCGACUGUUCAGGAAUGAACUUGAGGACUGUCUCACCAGAGGACAUGGGCUGGAUCGUGUGGCUGAUGCUUUUGCCAAACUCAUGUGCCAAGAUGAGUCUGCUUUUUCUGAAAUGUACCUGGGAUACCUGAGGACCCUCCCUGAAAUCAUCUCAGCUCUUCACAAAUCAGAUGUUGCAGCGUAUAACACACAGGCAUCCUUGGGGGAGAGAAAGGAGCUGCUGGAGGUCUUCCCAAUCCUAGCCCCUGUGUCACAGAUUCACAACUAUUUAAUUCAUACACAAAGUGAGCUGCAAUGGACAAGAAGAGACCACGGAGAUUACGACCUCUUGGAAGAGAGGAAGCGAGUUCUUUGGCAGCUCCUCUCUCGGUGUCACGACCUUCUGGAGGAGGCCAGCCUGGGAACCCUCAAGGAAGCGGCAGGAUGCAGGAGUGUGUCUCCACAUGAGCUCCACUCUGCGAGGAAGAACUGCAGUCCUGCUGAUGCUACACAUCACCUCUGUGUCCCACACCACGUCCAACACACCUUCUUCCCAGCAACUGCAAACCCAGACAGGAAGGAAGGAAUGAGUGCAUCUGGGCAGGGCUUCCUGCUAAGGCUGAAGCCCUCUGGAGAACAAGCCUGUGGUCAAGAGCGCCCUGACAUAAGGGAGAAUGUUGCAGAUGGCGACACGGACCAGGAAGACUUCGGCAACACCUCCGUUUUCGAUUACUCCUCGGUGACCUCGUGCAGCCCCGAUGGCACCUAUGAGAUGGGGGCUAAAGCAGGGGAGGAAGGCUUGGGCAUCCCUGGGCGAGGAAACCUCAGCGAUGGCGACACGGACAGUCAGGUACCUGUCCUUCUGAAGCCCUCGCACACACCCAGCUCGCCACUGGAGCACGGAACAUCUGCAGAAGCGUCAUCGUGCCCGAGGUGGCAGGUGCCCAGGGUGUCCCAAGAGCACGGUGUCGCAAAGAACAUCUCUCACUCUCCUAGCAGGACGUUCAGAAUCACCUGGGAUGAGUCAUUUAAACAGGGUGAUUCUCCACCCAAUGAAUGCAAGAAGUCCGGGAGGCAGUCAGCUUCCAAACUGGCACAAGUAGGAAGGUACCAGAGGGUAGUGCGGCAAGCGACCCUCCUUGGUGUGCCAUGUGGAGGCCCCAUGCGAGAGAACACAAAUGGAACAAGUCCAUGGGAAGAGAGUGAAGAUGAGGGACCCUGCAGUACUGUGUGA
Molecule: long non-coding RNA, 2529 nt
Filed under: Scleropages formosus (Asian bonytongue)
Lineage: Eukaryota; Metazoa; Chordata; Actinopteri; Osteoglossiformes; Osteoglossidae
Description: lncRNA (ENSSFOG00015026670.1)
Source: RNAcentral